RNAcentral lists this ribosomal RNA (516 nucleotides) under Limosilactobacillus fermentum. Its description in RNAcentral is "bacterial SSU rRNA". It matches the Rfam family "Bacterial small subunit ribosomal RNA", at positions 28 to 500 of the family's 1533-position model. The record is from RNAcentral. Lineage: Bacteria; Bacillati; Bacillota; Bacilli; Lactobacillales; Lactobacillaceae.
GAUGAACGCUGGCGGUGUGCCUAAUACAUGCAAGUCGAACGCGUUGGCCCAAUUGAUUGAUGGUGCUUGCACCUGAUUGAUUUUGGUCGCCAACGAGUGGCGGACGGGUGAGUAACACGUAGGUAACCUGCCCAGAAGCGGGGGACAACAUUUGGAAACAGAUGCUAAUACCGCAUAACAACGUUGUUCGCAUGAACAACGCUUAAAAGAUGGCUUCUCGCUAUCACUUCUGGAUGGACCUGCGGUGCAUUAGCUUGUUGGUGGGGUAAUGGCCUACCAAGGCGAUGAUGCAUAGCCGAGUUGAGAGACUGAUCGGCCACAAUGGGACUUAGACACGGCCCAUACUCCUACGGGAGGCAGCAGUAGGGAAUCUUCCACAAUGGGCGCAAGCCUGAUGGAGCAACACCGCGUGAGUGAAGAAGGGUUUCGGCUCGUAAAGCUCUGUUGUUAAAGAAGAACACGUAUGAGAGUAACUGUUCAUACGUUGACGGUAUUUAACCAGAAAGUCACGGCUAA